This is a long non-coding RNA of Xenia sp. Carnegie-2017, 199 nucleotides long. RefSeq lists it as uncharacterized. The record is from RefSeq and is a predicted model, not a curated record. The transcript is spliced from 3 exons. Lineage: Eukaryota; Metazoa; Cnidaria; Anthozoa; Malacalcyonacea; Xeniidae.
GAUGGUUCGUCUUGUACAGCGCAAUCUAUUGAAUCACUACCCAAAGUUGGGAGAGAAGGAACAACCAAUGGCUAGGUGCAACCACUUAUUCUAAUGGAAACAAAGAAGUUGUUACAUGUGCUCCUCGAUUCACAGAAUACACCACAAACAGCAAGGAAUUUUACUACUAAUUGGAAAGUGCGUCGUACUUGAAGGAAAA